RNAcentral lists this transfer RNA (67 nucleotides) under Macroxyela ferruginea. RNAcentral's name for it is "tRNA-Tyr". The record is from RNAcentral. Lineage: Eukaryota; Metazoa; Arthropoda; Insecta; Hymenoptera; Xyelidae.
GGUAAAAUGACUGAGGUUAAAGGUGAUAAACUGUAAAUUUAUUUAGGAAAAUGUUUUUCUUUUACUA